RNAcentral lists this ribosomal RNA (253 nucleotides) under uncultured bacterium. Its description in RNAcentral is "partial 16S ribosomal RNA". It matches the Rfam family "Bacterial small subunit ribosomal RNA", at positions 524 to 776 of the family's 1533-position model. The record is from RNAcentral.
UACGUAGGUGGCAAGCGUUGUCCGGAUUUACUGGGCGUAAAGCGCGCGCAGGCGGCUGAUUAAGUCCGAUGUGAAAUCUCCCGGCUCAACCGGGAGCGGUCAUUGGAUACUGGUCGGCUUGAGGGAGGCAGAGGAGAGUGGAAUUCCCGGUGUAGUGGUGGAAUGCGUAGAUAUCGGGAGGAACACCAGCGGCGAAGGCGGCUCUCUGGGCCUUUCCUGACGCUGAGGCGCGAAAGCGUGGGGAGCAAACCGG